RNAcentral lists this transfer RNA (99 nucleotides) under Serratia sp. DD3. RNAcentral's name for it is "tRNA-Gln". The record is from RNAcentral. Lineage: Bacteria; Pseudomonadati; Pseudomonadota; Gammaproteobacteria; Enterobacterales; Yersiniaceae.
UGCUCAGUUGGAUGAUAGGUGAACUCCCGCCUGCCUUUGGCGCGGAGGGCGAGUUAUGGUUGAACGGGACUCGUCGGGAUCUACGCCCGACAGAGCAGC